UUCCAAAAUGGUGUCUUUUAGCAGCAGGUAGGAACUGUGGGGUUCUGCUGGGCUAUCCAGGGGAAACUUAAAACAUCUGGGAAUUAUUCUCCUAAUGUAGAGGCAGUGAAAGAAUUGCCUGUGGAUGGUGGAGAGAGGGUACCAGUUUCAAUGACAGCCUGGUGACAAAAGCAAAAAGCUGCUGAACCUGGGAGAGUUGAAGUGCACAGUCCACUAUGUCAUCCAUCUGAACAUCUCUAUCUGAAUUCUAAUUAGUGUACAUGGUUCUGUUCAGCUGCCUGGGAUGGCUAUUGGGAUGGCACCCUAAAAAUACAUACAAUAGAUUUUAAAGGGAAAACUUCAUGGCAGCCACUCCUAAUCCUGGCAUGUUGAUUACCAAAGGGACGCCAUGAGAAGAAGGGUUAUAUAUGUGACUGCAUUCUUUGUACAAUACUAAAAUGUUCUUGAUAAUAUAUAUUAACUUUGACACACUAAAAUAAAAAUUCCUCCCCCUGA
Mauremys reevesii (Reeves's turtle) is the source of this 495-nucleotide long non-coding RNA. RefSeq lists it as uncharacterized. The transcript is spliced from 2 exons. The record is from RefSeq and is a predicted model, not a curated record. Lineage: Eukaryota; Metazoa; Chordata; Testudines; Geoemydidae.